RNAcentral lists this long non-coding RNA (672 nucleotides) under Homo sapiens (human). RNAcentral describes it as "HSALNT0364705". Lineage: Eukaryota; Metazoa; Chordata; Mammalia; Primates; Hominidae. The record is from RNAcentral.
UCAGUGCCGUAACUCUUCUGUUCUGGGCGAUACCAAGUUCAAUUUUAACGAAGCUCUUUUAGUUCCAAGAAACAGACACAGCCAGACCAGUCUGAAAAUUUUUAUUUUCUGAAAAAUGUAACUUGUAAGAACACACGUAGAGCAAAAGGGAGAAACUUGGAAAUUUUUACGCAAAAAACACCUAAGUAAAACCAUUCUUGAAAGGACACAUGAACAAAUUGAACCAGUCAGAGGGGAAAGAUCAGGAUGAUGAAGUGACUCAGAAAUCAGAUUAUUCUCUGAAGGACAUACUUAAAACUAAAAGAUGUUGGAUCUCCAAUAUGAAUUUGUGAUGUCCCUCUUCAUGGAGAGCUGCCUGAAGCUGAGAAGGGUGCGACGGACCUGAAGGCUGCACAGCGCCGGGUCUUACCCAAGGCUCAAGGUGACCGCUGCCUGGUUUCUGCUGGUGUUUAUUCAAAGCCCAAGGGCUCUCCAGUCAGCAAGUGGUGAAUCUAGUCAGACAUGUGUCCUACGCUUCAGGGCAAUGAGCUUCCCCUCAGCCUAAGAUUCCAUUAUGACAUUAGUCUCUGGUCACAAUUAUCUGAAGCCUUGCAGGAUGCACCAUUCCACUUCAUCCUGUCUUCAUCACAAGAAGAAAAGUGAGUAAAGUACAAUAAGAUAUUUAGAGAGAAA